RNAcentral lists this ribosomal RNA (576 nucleotides) under uncultured Bacteroidota bacterium. RNAcentral's name for it is "bacterial SSU rRNA". It matches the Rfam family "Bacterial small subunit ribosomal RNA", at positions 338 to 916 of the family's 1533-position model. The record is from RNAcentral. Lineage: Bacteria; Pseudomonadati; Bacteroidota.
CCUACGGGAGGCAGCAGUGAGGAAUAUUGGUCAAUGGUCGCAAGACUGAACCAGCCAUGCCGCGUGCAGGAAGACGGUCCUAUGGAUUGUAAACUGCUUUUAUACAGGAAGAAACCCUCCCACGUGUGGGAGCUUGACGGUACUGUAGGAAUAAGGAUCGGCUAACUCCGUGCCAGCAGCCGCGGUAAUACGGAGGAUCCAAGCGUUAUCCGGAAUCAUUGGGUUUAAAGGGUCCGUAGGCGGUCUUAUAAGUCAGUGGUGAAAGCCCAUCGCUCAACGAUGGAACUGCCAUUGAUACUGUAAGACUUGAAUGCUUAGGAAGUAACUAGAAUAUGUAGUGUAGCGGUGAAAUGCUUAGAUAUUACAUGGAAUACCAAUUGCGAAGGCAGGUUACUACUAAGUGAUUGACGCUGAUGGACGAAAGCGUGGGGAGCGAAUAGGAUUAGAUACCCUGGUAGUCCACGCCGUAAACGAUGGAUACUAGCUGUUCGGCGCAAGUUGAGUGGCUAAGCGAAAGUGAUAAGUAUCCCACCUGGGGAGUACGCACGCAAGUGUGAAACUCAAAGGAAUUGACGG